This 396-nucleotide ribosomal RNA is filed under the name uncultured bacterium. RNAcentral describes it as "partial 16S ribosomal RNA". It matches the Rfam family "Bacterial small subunit ribosomal RNA", at positions 360 to 773 of the family's 1533-position model. The record is from RNAcentral.
AAUAUUGCAUAAUGGGGGAAACCCUGAUGCAGCGACGCCGCGUGAGCGAAGAAGGCCUUCGGGACGUAAAGCUCAGUCCUAAGGGAAGAAACGGAAGGUACCGUAGGAGGAAGCGCCGGCCAACUACGCGCCAGCAGCCGCGGUAAUACGUAGGGGGCAAGCGUUGUCCGGAAUUAUUGGGCGUAAAGGGUGGGUAGGGGGCCUUUUAAGGCAGAUGUGAAAGCCCACGGCUUAACCGUGGGACUGCAUUUGAAACUGGAGGGCUUGGGUAUCGGAGAGGGUAGUGGAAUUCCCGGUGUAGCGGUGGAAUGCGUAGAUAUCGGGAAGAACACCCGUGACGAAGGCGGCCAGCUGGGCCGGAUCCGACGCUGAGGCGCGAAAGCGUGGGGAGCAAAC